GACGAGAAAGGAGACUUCGGUUUCUGAGUACAGUGGCGCACGGGUGCGUAACACGUAAGUUAUCUACCCCGAACUCUGGGAUAACCCUCCGAAAGGAGGGCUAAUACUGGAUAGGGUCCCCGAGGUACAGGCUGCGGGGGGAAAACGGGCCUCUGUUCCAUGCUCGUGGUUUGGGAUGAGCUCGCGGCCCAUUAGCUUGUUGGUAAGGUAAUGGCUUACCAAGGCGACGAUGGGUAGCUGGUCUGAGAGGAUGAUCAGCCACACUGGCACUGAGACACGGGCCAGACUCCUACGGGAGGCAGCAGUGGGGAAUUUUGCGCAAUGGGCGAAAGCCUGACGCAGUAACGCCGCGUGGAGGAUGAAGGCCUUCGGGUUGUAAACUCCUGUCAGGGGGAACGACGGAGCAAGGGUGACAAACCCUUUCCUUCAGACGGUACCUCCAAAGGAAGCCCCGGCUAAUUCCGUGCCAGCAGCCGCGGUAAUACGGAAGGGGCGAGCGUUGUUCGGAAUCAUUGGGCGUAAAGGGCGCGUAGGUGGUUCUGUAUGUCUACCGUGAAAGCGUACGGCUCAACCGUAUUUUGUCGGUAGAAACUGCAGGACUUGAGGCUGGGAGGGGCUGGCGGAAUUCCCUGUGUAGCGGUGAAAUGCGUAGAGAUGGGGGAGAACACUCGUGGCGAAGGCGGCCAGCUACACCAGUUCUGACACUGAGGCGCGACAGCGUGGGGAGCAA
RNAcentral lists this ribosomal RNA (730 nucleotides) under uncultured bacterium. Its description in RNAcentral is "bacterial SSU rRNA". It matches the Rfam family "Bacterial small subunit ribosomal RNA", at positions 65 to 771 of the family's 1533-position model. The record is from RNAcentral.